Molecule: ribosomal RNA, 420 nt
Filed under: uncultured prokaryote
Description: bacterial SSU rRNA
Rfam family: Bacterial small subunit ribosomal RNA
Source: RNAcentral
UAAGGAAUAUUGCUCAAUGGGAGAAAUCCUGAAGCAGCAACGCCGCGUGGAGGAUGAAGGGCUUUCAGCUUGUAAACUCCUGUAAAGAAGGAAAAAAUUCCCAUUAGAUGGGAAAUGACGGUACUUCUAAAGUAAGCCCCGGCUACCUACGUGCCAGCAGCCGCGAUAAUACGUAGGGGGCAAGCGUUGUCCGGAUUUACUGGGUGUAAAGGGUGCUCAGGCGGAUUUGUAAGUCAGAGGUGAAAUCUCACAGCUUAACUGUGAAACUGCCUUUGAGACUGCAAGUCUAGAGUAUGGAAGAGAGUGGUGGAAUGUCUGGUGUAGCAGUGAAAUGCGUAGAUAUCAGAUAGAACACCAAUGGCGAAGGCAGUCACUUGGUCCAUUACUGACGCUAAAGCACGAAAGCGUGGGGAGCAAACA